UAAUAUUAAAUAAUUUUUUAGUUUUCAACUGAACGACUAAAAAAAGAAAAAUUAAAAACUAGGUAAUUGUUAAAAGAUGAGUUUGUGGAAGAUUAGGUUGUUGGUAGAAAUAAUAGUUUACCAAGCCUUUGAUCUUUAGUUGGUCUUAGAGGACGUACAACCACACUGGAACUGAGACAAGGUCCAGGCUAAUUUUUUGGCCAGCAGUGAGGAAUAUUGGACAAUGAACGAAAGUUUGAUCCAGCAAUAUUAUGUGAAUGAUUGACGACUAAUUUUUGGUUGUAAAAUUCUUUCGUUAA
This 299-nucleotide ribosomal RNA is filed under the name uncultured bacterium. RNAcentral describes it as "partial 16S ribosomal RNA". It matches the Rfam family "Bacterial small subunit ribosomal RNA", at positions 164 to 442 of the family's 1533-position model. The record is from RNAcentral.